Molecule: long non-coding RNA, 1310 nt
Organism: Eucalyptus grandis
Lineage: Eukaryota; Viridiplantae; Streptophyta; Magnoliopsida; Myrtales; Myrtaceae
Exons: 4
Source: RefSeq, a predicted model, not a curated record
GUCAUCGAUGUCUUUGCCUUUUCCCCUGCACUUGUGGUCCAUGUGGCUGAAAUUCAUGGUCUCAAAUAUAUAUAGGACAUGGAAGGCCUUUUCUGGUUGUGUACCCUAUUGCACUCCAAGAGCGUAUAUCUUGACACUUGACUUUGGUUGCAAGUUGAGAUUGUUUACUAGCAUUAUAUGGUUUAUUGUCAAUUAAAACUCCUGAAACUAGCAACUACUGCCCUAAAUUCAUGCUGUGUGAUUAGAUUCUCUCAUCAGUGUAUGCUUAUGUUUGGGUCUUUCUUCACCAUAAGUUGGUUUUCAACCAUGUAAAUGGGGACACUGCUCCUGUUCAAUUCAUCAGGCAACAUAAUCAGGAAAACAAGAAAAUUGCUACUCUCAGGUAUUCAGAAAGGUCAUGUAUGUCGAAGCUCAGGAGCCGUGGACGUGGACGGGGGGCAUUUUUUUCUGCUGGUUGGCCCACAUUUGAUAAAGAAGCUUAUGUGCAUGUAGGAGAUGUUGUGUGUUUGAGCUCAUUAAUAGGGAGGAUGUGUGUUCAGAGUCUAUAUUUCCACUAGAGCUGCUCAAGACCUAUCAACACCAUUAUCCAGCAAACAUCUCUGUGGUUGGCUCAUGUUUGUGAGAGAAGCUUAUCUGGAUGAAGGGGAUGUCUGCAUGUAUGAGCUCAUUGAUAUGGAUGAUUUUCUAGUCAAAGUCUCCAUCUCCAAUUAUGCUUGUCAAAACAAACAAAUCUGAAUGUCCAGUGAGUCCUCCUGAGCAGUUUUUCAUGAUUCCAAGUGUCCGAGGCCCCUCACUGCCCUUGAGAAAGCUAGAGAAUUCAAAUCAGAGUAUCCAUUUUUCCAGACAGUGAUGUGGCCAUAUUUUCUUAAGAAAGAAGUGGCGGCCUAGGCUUGGCAUGACUAAGCUCACUGCAACAGCACGGCAACACUAGUCGGAUAUUGCUCCCUAGCAACAAAUGGUUUACAAGAGCUACUAUAGCAAACGGGUUCAAAGUUGCAAUCGGAAAGGAAGGGAAGGUAGUGCGGCCUAGACCUAAAAAAUUAGUGCCACCAACUCGAUGGUAUAAAAAGAAGAAAAGAAGAUCACUUCUUUUUGGCCGGGCAGAAGAACACUUACUUUUUGUGUAUCUGUGUCCAUUUAGGACCCUGUGUGUAGCUUUUCAUGUUUUUAUUCGAUGCAUAUUGCAAUGCAAGAUUGGUGACUCAUUCACCAGAUUCAGCAUGUCUCUAUAUUGAUUACAUGUACUUAAUGUAGAGUCUGAGAGCACAGGAUUGUGAUAUUUUGAUUUCAUAUUGCAAAUUGUGAUUAAA